Molecule: long non-coding RNA, 1187 nt
Filed under: Equus asinus (donkey)
Lineage: Eukaryota; Metazoa; Chordata; Mammalia; Perissodactyla; Equidae
Description: lncRNA (ENSEASG00005030459.1)
Source: RNAcentral
CACUGCCCUUGUCCAAAGACGGUGGAUUUGUUGAUUGUGCAUGUUCUGGGAGGAACGUAUGUUUCAUUUCUGUGGGAUUUUGUGUUUGCUGUAUUAAUCUAUUGGUCAGUUGAUUUAUUUAUUCAGUGAAUACUUGUUGGUAGUUUAACCUGUGCAAGCCCUGGGCUUGGUGUUAGUAAUGUCUGGACCAAUGAGAGAGUCACUUCCUGCCCUCCUGGAAUUGACCGACUGAUGGAGGAGGUGGGCAUUGAAAAGCAGUUACAAACCCUACAUGGCUACCAAAGUGGGGGGUCCCGUGUGAUGGGGGAGCCCCUGCUCUAGAAGCUUAGAAAGCUGAGACCUGGAGGUCAGGUGGGGGUUAAGACGGGCCGUGAGUGGGCAAGCCCUCCUGGGCAGCCAGUCCUGCAGGAGAAAGGGGCUAAGGGCACACACCCAGCCUACCCUCUUUGUGCCUCUCCCUCACUGCCCUCCAGAUGUUCAGGUGGAUGUUCAGGUGGAUGUUCAGGUGGGGAUGUUCAGGUAGAGAUUGUUCAGGCUGACGUUCAGGUGGGGAUGUUCAGGUGGUGAUGUUCAGGCGGAUGUUCAGGUGGUGAUGUUCAGGCGGAUGUUCAGGUGGAGAUGUUCAGGCGGAUGUUCAGGCGGGGAUUGUUCAGGCAGAUGGUCAGGCGGGGAUGUUCAGGUGGAGAUUGUUCAGGCGGACGUUCAGCCAGGGAUGUUCAGGUGGGGAUGUUCAGGCGGGGAUGUUCAGGUGGACGUUCAGGUGGAUGUUCAGGUGGGGGUGUUCAGGUGGAUGUUCAGGUAGGGAUGUUCAGGUGGAUGUUCAGGUGGGGAUGUUCAGGUGGACGUUCAGGUGGAUGUUCAGGUGGGGAUGUUCAGGUGGACGUUCAGGUGGGGACAUUCAGGCGGGGACCUUCAGGCAGGGAUGUUCAGGCGGACGUUCAGGUGGGGAUGUUCAGGCGGAGCAGGGAGCUUUGCAGAGGUCGGCUUUUGGAGAAUGGCUGUAGCUGGAAAGCAUACCCCAUCUGAAGAAGUCCUCUGUGUUUCCUCAGAUACCAGGGUUUACUUUUAAUGUAACAGGGAUUAUUUAGGGAAAAGGGCCAGAGUGAUUGUACAGAGCCCUUUGAGAAAAAUUACUAUUCAGAUCUCAUCUCUGCUUUAUUAAUUGUAGUGUGAUUUAAAAAAAGAAG